Molecule: small nucleolar RNA, 122 nt
Organism: Panthera leo (lion)
Lineage: Eukaryota; Metazoa; Chordata; Mammalia; Carnivora; Felidae
Gene: SNORA70
Rfam family: Small nucleolar RNA SNORA70
About the family: snoRNA U70 seems to be exclusive to mammals and is a member of the H/ACA class of snoRNA which contain H (ANANNA) and ACA box motifs. H/ACA box snoRNAs are involved in the conversion of uridines to pseudouridines (5-ribosyluracil) a constituent of structural RNAs (transfer, ribosomal, small nuclear, and small nucleolar).
Source: Ensembl
GGGAGCCGACUGUGCCUUUCCCCGCGGAGGCUGCUGUGCCGUGGCGGCAAACAGCAGCCUCCCCGGUAGCGUGUGCAGCCUACUGACUGCACGGGUGGCCCUAAGGGACCGCGGAGACAGCG